UAGUCUGUCUAUAGCAAAUACUCAUCCAAUUAUGACAAAUCUUCACAUAAAUACUUAAAACCUUUAGUUUCCACAUGCCUAAUUGCAUCACUAAGCACCAAAAGGCCUGAGUUAUUCACUAAAUUGGUUA
Molecule: non-coding RNA, 130 nt
Organism: Populus trichocarpa (black cottonwood)
Lineage: Eukaryota; Viridiplantae; Streptophyta; Magnoliopsida; Malpighiales; Salicaceae
Source: Rfam